GCGUGGAUGAUGAAGGCCUUCGGGUUGUAAAGUCCUUUCGCACGUGACGAUGAUGACGGUAACGUGAGAAGAAGCCCCGGCUAACUUCGUGCCAGCAGCCGCGGUAAUACGAAGGGGGCUAGCGUUGUUCGGAAUUACUGGGCGUAAAGCGCGCGUAGGCGGUUCUUUAAGUUAGGCGUGAAAGCCCCAGGCUCAACCUGGGAACUGCGCUUGAUACUGGAGAGCUUGAGUCCGUGAGAGGAUAGCGGAAUUCCCAGUGUAGAGGUGAAAUUCGU
This 275-nucleotide ribosomal RNA is filed under the name uncultured bacterium. RNAcentral describes it as "partial 16S ribosomal RNA". It matches the Rfam family "Bacterial small subunit ribosomal RNA", at positions 399 to 691 of the family's 1533-position model. The record is from RNAcentral.